GGAAGUUUGAAACAAUACUAACAUAGAUCUUACAUUAAGCAUGGAUCCCAAACCUCAGUCAACAAAAAAAAAAGUCUGUUUUACUUUGAAUCCUAUAAUUUAUUUGACAAUGUAACAAUCUCCUCAAACUUUAAUUCAUAUCUUGAUCUAACAGGCCAGGACCAUAACAUUCAUUAACCGCUUCAAGAACAAAGUAAUUGGUUCUAUUAUUCCAUUCAAAGGAACCACAGAGUUUUUAGUCAUUCACAUGCAAAUACUAAUAACAUCUGGAAUACACUUCAAGCAAUCAACAACUUGCUAGGUGGUCCAUAAUAUUAAAG
This 320-nucleotide unclassified non-coding RNA is filed under the name Hevea brasiliensis (rubber tree). The record is from RNAcentral. Lineage: Eukaryota; Viridiplantae; Streptophyta; Magnoliopsida; Malpighiales; Euphorbiaceae.